UUAGUUUUAUUUAUUUUAUUAAGGUUUAUUUAUUUUAUAAAUAUAAAAAAAUAAACAUAGAUGCGCUUAUAGAGAAAAUUAAACCUAAAUUCACAGUAAAUUUCAAUUUACUGUGAAUUUAGGUGAAAUUCCCUAUAUAAGGGCAUCUAUUUUCACUUUAAGAGAAGCUCAACAAGGCAUAGAGGGACGGGCUUAUAAACUGGUGUGAGCGCCCUUCGGUUGGCGAGGUGGGACUAAACACUGGCCGCAACUAGGACCAGCCCUUUAGUCCCGGUUUGUGGUAUGAACCGGGAUUAAAGGGUGGUGGACCAGGAGCGUGGCCCAUUGGUCCCGGUUUGUCCCACCAACCGGGACCAAAGGGUCCGGACGAACCGGGACCAAUGCCCCCACGAGGCCCGGCAGGCCCUUGGCCGCACGAACCGGGACCAAUGCUCACAUUAGUCCCGGUUCGUGACUGAACCGGGACUAAUGUGAAUAUUGCCCUGUGACCAAAGCCCAGUUUUGUACUAGUGUGCUGUGUUUGUCAUGGCUGCUCUGCACUAAAUGCAAGAUGUUUUACUUUAGCCUGAGUCUUCUGUUCGGUAAUUGUUGUUUCUCCCUGAAACAAAACUGAUAGUUUGUAUGAUUGAUUACUUAGAGAGCCACAUUCGCACAAGGAAAUCUAAACAGCCGGCUGGGUAUUGACAAGAAGUACCAAUUUAAGAGGACCGUGAGACAGCUCGGAGGGAAGAACGCAGUUGAUGGCCAUAUUUGGCGCCUUCUGGUGCAAAUAGUGGAAGUGUUUUAGUGAGCAUAUAUUCAUGUCGAACUUCUAUUCUACUGAAUCUUUGAUUGCCUGAUCCCCUUCAUCCUGGCUUGACAUAAAUAACACAUUCGAGGACCAUUUACGACGCCUUCUGGUGCAAAUAGUGGAAAUCUUUCAGUAAAUAUAUAUUUAUGUGAAACUGAAAUUUAGACAACCUUAGAUGAACAUUAUUUCCUGUCAGUGGAUUGAUAGUUGUACUGAAUCUUGCCCUAUGUACAUGGGAUUGCGGUGUCGCUGCGGUGGAAAGUUUUGAUUUGGGUGCGCACGUGGAAAAUCUUGUAACAGGACGAAGAUAAGUGAAUAGGCGGCACGAACACAAGAGACUUCCAUUUGAGUUAAAAAAAACAUUUUUUUACACAUGUAUACACACAAUGCACAUUCACGCGGGGCGGCGGGGGAGAAUAUCCGUUUGCUGAUUUUGAGAUUAGCCGCAAUUAGGAGGAUUUCUACUCAGGUAUGAAUCCAACCUCUCGUCCUCCUCGUGUCGCCCCUGCGGGCGACCCAGGGGGAACCCUAGACACCAUCCUCCUCGUCCCUCAUCCGCCUCCACCUCUCUUCGCCGUUGUCCGCAUCGCCGCCGGUUAAAGCUUGGCCGGCUGGGCGGCGGCGGGGCAUCUCUCCCCUUUGGAGCGUCUUGGGCAGCGCGGGACGACCAGAUCACGAAGAGGCAUCGGGCUAGCGCGUGGUCUGGCGGCAUGGCGGGCGAGCAUCUUGGUGGCGGUGCAUUGCGGCGCCGGCGACGCGGCGCGGCAGCUGUGGCUUGGAUGCGACUCCACGGUGAGGUGGUGGCUGCUUGGCCUUCCGAUGGGUGGUCGCGGGCGUCGCCAUGUUCAGGCUGGAUCCAUCUGGAUCUGGCGCUUGGAUGUUGUCGGACGGCGCAGGGUGGUGGUCUAUGCCGCUGGCCUCGUCGGAUCGUUGGAUCCAGCGCCUGGAGAUCUACGGCGGCUGUCCUUCUUGAUCCUCCUUCCUGGUGGGUUGAGCCCCAUGGCACUUGCAUCUCUGCUGGUCUCGGGUUCGUCUCGUUGUCUGAUUCGGAACAGUCGGAGGUUUGGUGGUAUAGCUUGGGGACCGGAGGAAACUUUGACCGGCUGGUCCGGCCCAGCAUCGGCGGCAUCCCACGACGCCGUUACCCUCCUUGGAGGCGAAGCCGAGGUCCCUCCUAUCCACAUCCGAACCCUUCCCGGACGAAAGUUCAAAAUUCAGUCUGGAUUGGGCGGCGGCGGCGGCGCCCUGCGCGUCGUAACCUCCAUGGAGGCGCCAUCUUGGGAGGCUCAGAUGGUCGGGCGAGAGAUGCUAUGGGUGGUGGGCGCCGCGUAGCUCCAGCAGCAGCGACGGUGUGAGCUCCGGGGGAAACCCUAGAUCUGGGUCUACCGAAUCGGACAAUGAUGGCACCUUUGAUGUCGUUGUCCCUCCUGGGGCAUCAUUUUGGAGCAUGCGCUGGCUGGAGGGGACAAGAGGAGGAGCGGUGUUACAUCUACCGCGAGGCCGACGGCGGAUCCUGGCGGCAUGGCGCCGCGGAGGUUCGGCGAUGGGCGCGUCUGGAGAGGGACUUGCGCAGGAGGAGGAAGCUGUCUAGUGUCAUGGUGGCGUUGAUGGCAGAGAGGCCUGGCAAGGUUGGUGCAACAGUUUUGCUUUGAGGAUGGACCGAGGGAUGAUGGAGGUGACAUCCCUUGCAGCGUGCGGUGCUCACUGGGAGUGUGCCUGGCCGGUGUGGGACCCAAUCCAGGUAGUGGCUUGGAGGGGACACCCGACUUUAAAUGUUAGGCCUUAGUGCGAUGUCUGUUUGGUAUUAGGCCUGAACAUUCGGCACGCUUUCAUCAAGGUGAUAGGAGUAGCAACGGUGUUGCCAAGAUGAUGGCCAAACUUAUUGAUGUAUCACCUUGUAUGGUCUUUGUGAAUAAUUAAUAAUAUGGCUGCAUGCAUCUUUCAGAUGCAGAGGCCGAGGGUACAUCCUCCUUUUUUUAAAAUAAAUAAAUAAAUAAGUAGUGGGGUCCAUGAGGACAGUGGUUGCUCAACGGUUGAAUCACGAUAGUGUGUGCAGGGCUCAGGCUGCCCGUAGCGAGAGUAACUUCCGCGGUAACAAGGUCUAACUUAUUAAUAAAUUUACUAACUUUAGUGUUAAUAUAAGGUCUAACUUAUUAACAAAUUUACUUAGGGUGUGGCUAGGUCUCAGUCGACUGACGUAAGAAAGAAGACGGACAAGAAAACUUUACACGAAUCUUAAUGUAAGAUAUUUUAUGAAUAUAACAUCGACUAAGACGACUGAGAUUUAGCAAAACUGUUUUGCUUAUGUGGCUACGAGCCCAUAGCUUGAGAGGGUGCUUGGAUCCAAGGGAUUUAUUUUAGUCUGACUAAAAAUAGUCUCUUUAAGAGGCUAAAGUUCCAAGCACCCCUGACUAAAGAGGGGCUAAAACUAGUCUUGAAAUUAAAUUUUUUUAGUCAGGAGUACCCUACUAAAAUGUGGAUUAGUCCUCUCUCUUCUCAUUUAACUACUCUCCUUUAACACAUGCGAGUUCUGGAUUGGAGGGUUUGGAGGAUAAUAAAUGUUCAUUAACUUGAUUUUAGUCUCUUUAUUAUUUGGAUCCAAGCAUGGGUGAGGCUAGCAAGUUUUAGUCUCACUACUUUUAGUCAUGAGACUAAAAUGUAUCAAGCACCCUCUCAGUAAUUUCAGUGAUAACAUAAGUCUAACUUAGUAAUAAAUUUGCUUAUAUGGCUACAAUUUAAUGAGAAGAAAGAUAAUUUGAGUAACAUAGUUACUACUUCCGUUCGGAAUUAUACGUCCCGCGAGCCACGAUAGGACGUUCGAUUUACAAGUCCCCUGCGAUUAAAGUACAGCCUUUUUCCCUCGAUUCCCACCAUGUUCGCUGCAUUUGCUGCAGUCGAUUGCAUGCAGCCAACCUUGACGCGAGCAUGCAGCCACCUACUGAAAAAGUGCGUGCAUGCAUGUUGUCAAAUUGACAGCUAACUAGCUUUAAUGACGUGCAUGCACUUAAUUAGGCUACUCAUAGUGGGGAGUAACAUAUACUAGUAUCAUGCAUAUGAUACUAGUAUAUGAUACUAUUUUCAUAGUGCAUAGUAUCAUAAAGUAGUAUCAUAGAUGACCAUAUUUAUUGCCAUCCAUGACACAAAGUAGCAUAGCAUUUAACAUGAUACAGUAUCUACCUAUGUUACUCUAUCCCUCUCUCUCUUAUUUAAUUGUGUGCCACAUAAGCAUGUUUGCUAGUCCCAAGUGCAUGUUAUCAGUUAUGUUACCCCCACUAUGGCCAGCCUUAGGCUACUUCCAAUACAUUGGUGCUAAGAUGAAGUGCUAAUCACAUGAAAAAACUUAACAACUAGUCCCAAUGCAUUGGUGCUAAGAUGUUGUAGCUAAGCAUCCAUCGUUUAAUGAUUUAGCAACUAAAGUUCUUCAUGCAUUUGUGAGAUUCUUUCAUUGAAGUGUUUUGUCUAGGGUCAUACGCUUGGCAUUGUUUCUUCUUGCGGUCACCACACUCACCUCUCUCCUCUUAAUUACCUUGCCACAUCAUAUUUUUCGCCUACAUGGCAGCCUUAGCACCUAUACAAGGUGGAGCAUUGGGAGGGCCCUUAAGGCCAUGUCCCGGUCCUAGUGCUUUGGCUCGGCGGACGUAUAAUCCCGGAUGGAGGUAGUAGUUAGUUACUCAUAUUAUGACUUUAUGAGUAACAUCAGACAUAUCAAGACAAAACAAGUCUACAAGCUAAUAAAUAAAGUGUUACAUGACACCAUACAUAUGUUACUCGUCACUAUAGAGAUAUUAACACAUAUUAGUAAUAUAUGCAUGUUACUAGUGUAAAUUAAUCCCCACUAUGGGUAGUCGCAGAGCACGAGCGGAACCGGAAUAACAAAAUGGAAAUGCACACCUACUAAGAGCAUCUCUAGCCAAUGCACUAAAACCAGUUAAAGCCAAUUAGAUCCAAUCCACUAAAAUAGUUAAAACCGAUUACAUAAGUAAAUUUCUUUACUCCCCUAAUAGGGACCUAGCGAUCGUAAAUGCUAUAGCGGCGUAUAAAUUUUAUUCCUCAUUGCUUUGAGCGAGUAAAAGUACUACACAGCUCGGGCUCAGAUAAAAUUUUCUCGCGCCUUCUCUGUCUCUUCUCACUCCAAUCCUCGCCGCCCACAUCCUGCAGGUGACUCCCUCAUGGAUCUCGCACCUCCACUAUUGCCGCCAUGGCCGGAUCCUCUGGCCAACGCUCCCCGUCGCCCAUCCGCACUGAGGAUCGCGUUACCAUGACUGCAGCGACGACACAUCUUCCUCACGCCGCCGCUGCGGUGCUUCAUUGAGCGCCACCCCAUAUUCUAUUGGGGAGUGCAGUAAUUUUAAAUUUUUUCCUACGCACACGCAAGAUCCAUCUAGGUGAUGUAUAGCAACGAGCGGGAGAGUGUGUCCACGUACCCUUGUAGACGGAAAGCGGAAGUGUUAUGACAACGCGAUUGAUGUAGUCAUACGUCUUCACGAUCCGACCGAUCCUAGCACCGAACGUAUGGCACCUCCGCGAUUUGCACACGGUCAGCUCGGUGACGUCCCACGAACUCUAGAUCCAGCUAAGGUCGAGGGAGAGUUUCGUCAGCACGACGGCGUGAUGAUGGUGUUGAUGAAGUUACCGAUGCAGGGCUUCGCCUAAGCACUACAACAAUAUGACCGAGGUGGAAAUCUGUGGAGGGGGGCACCGCACACGGCUAAGACAACUGUCAACUUGUGUGUCCUAGGGUGCCGGCGGCCUCAUAGGGUGCGCCCCAAGGGGGAAUCCUACUCCUACUAGGAAUAGGUUCCCCCUUUCCAAGUCCACCUAGGAGGGGAAGGAAAGAGGAGAAGGAGAGUAGGAAAGACGGGGCCCGCCCACCAAGCCCUAAACCAAUUCGGUUUGGGCCUAGGGGGGCGCGCCCCACAGCUCCCUUCCUGCCCUCUAUUUCCACUAAGGCCCAUGAAGGCCCAUUGACCCCCCGGGGUGUUAGGGCGGCUAGGUAUUUAAACCUGAGGACACACAGUCCCGGACACCCAGUCCUGAACACGCAGUCCAGGACACUUAGUCCUCACCGUAUUCCCCUUGAGCUAAGGUCACACAGACCUCGCCCAAUCACUCAUGGUAAGUCUUCAGGUGACUUCCGAACCUUCACAAACUCGGUCACUCGGCGAUCCACAAUUUCCUCUUAGAUGCUCUAGACCAUGACGCCUAACCGUCUGGAAGAAGCACAGUCUACAAAGGUAACAAGCGUCGGAUCCACGCAGGAUGAAUCUCUUAAGUGAUGCUCAAUCACUUUGGGUUUGUAGGUGUUUGGGUUUGGGUUUUUCCUCACUUGAUGAUUUUUGCUCAAAGUCCUCGGAGGACGGGAUGCUCUCAAAUGACAAGUGUCAGUUUCUCUCGGAGCAGCCAACCAGCUAGUGGUUGUAGGGGGUGGCUAUUUAUAGCCUAGGGAGCAGCCCGACAUGAUAAAACAUAAAUGCCCUUCAAUGAUAUGACCGUUAGGUGGGUAGAUAUUUUGGGACAGCUGGCGCAUAGCACAGCAACGGUCGGAAAUUUGAGUAUCAAAUUCCUCAGGGCUAUCAUGUUCCUCACUGUGUAGGCAAACCACACUGGAGAAUUCCUAGCUCCUCAGUCAGAACAAAUUCCUCAGAGACCAGAAGAACUUCGUCUCUGUCACUGAAGAAUAUGACUGAACUGUAUGAGAUUUCCAAUGGCUUCACUCGAAUGGAUUGGUAGGUGUAGGAUUUUGAGUUGAGCAUCACAUGGAAAUUUUUCCUUAGUAUUUCCUCGACCACCUUUAACAGUACGGUGUUUCCUAUGACUCAAGAAGAGAAAAUGAAACUACGAAAACAAAAGUCUUCACGCUUCAUGUUCCUCAAAUGAAUACCAAGUCUUCAAGGUCACACCAAUUUCUUCACUUUCAAAGUCUUCAGAAAGUCUUCAGAAAUCCAAAGUCUUCAGUCGAAGAACUUCACUUUUAGGGGUCGACUUUCUCUGUAAAUAUCAAACUCCUCGUAGACUUAUAGACCUGUGUACACUCAUAAACACAUCAGUCCCUUAACCUAUAAGUCUUCAAUACACCAAAAUCACUAAGGGGCACUAGAUGCACUUACAUUAUGCUAAGCUAACGGAUGGGUCUUGUCCAUCACAUCAUUCUCCUAAUGAUGUGAUCCCAUUCAUCAAUUGACAACACAUGUCUAUGGUCAGGAAACUUAACCAUCUUUGAUUAACGAGCUAGUGUAGUAGAGGCAUACUAGGAACACUUUGUUUUGUCUAUGUAUUCACACAUGUAUAAAGUUUUCGGUUAAUACAAUUCUAGCAUGAUAAACAUUUAUCAUGAUAUAAGGAAAUAAAUAAUAACUUUAUUAUUGCCUUUAGGGCAUAUUUCCUUCAGUUUCCCACUUGCACUAGAGUCAAUAAUCUAGUUCACAUCGCCAUGUGAUUUAACACAAAUAGUUCACAUCACCAUGUGAUUUACACCCAUAGUUCACAUCGCCAUGUGACCAACACUCAAAGGGUUUACUAGAGUCAAUAAUCUAGUUCACAUUGCUAUGUGGAUAAUACCCAAGAGCACUAAGGUGCGAUCAUGUUUUGCUUGUGAGAGAAAUUUUUAUUGUACGGGUCUGCAACAUUCAGAUCCGUAUGUAUUUUGCAAAUUUCUAUGUCUACAAUACUCUGCAUGGAGCUACUCUAGCUAUUUGCUCCCACUUUCAAUAUGUAUCUAGAUCGAGACUUAGAUUCAUCUAGAUCGGUGUCAAAGCUUGCAUCGACGUAACUUUUUAUGACGAACUCUUUGUCAACUCCAUAACCGAGAAACAUUUCCCUAUUCUACUAAGUAUAAUUUUGACCGCUGUCCUGUGAUCCACUCCUGGAUCACUAUUAUACCCUCUUGCCAAACUCAUGGCGAGGUACACAAUAGGUCUGGUACACAGCAGAGCAUACUUUAUAGAACCUAUGACUGAGGCAUAGGGAAUGAAUUUUCAUUCUCUUUCUAUUUUCUGCCGUGGUCGGGUUUUGAGUCUUACUCAACUUCACACCUUGCAACACAGGCAAGAACUCCUUCUUUAACUGUUCCAUUUUGAACUACUUCAAAAUCCUGUCAAGGUAUGUAUUCAUUGAAAAAUCUUAUCAAGCGUCUUGAUCUAUCUCUAUAGAUCUUGAUGCUCAAUGUGUAAGCAACUUCACUGAGGUCUUUCUUUGAAAAACUCCUUCCAAACACUCCUUUAUGUUCUCCAGAAAAUUCUACAUCAUUUUUGAUCAACAAUAUGUCACUCACAUAUACUUAUCAGAAAGGCUAUAGUGCUCCCACUCCCUUUCUUUUAAUACAGGCUUCACCGCACGUCUAUAUAAAACUAUAUACUUUGAUCACACUAUCAAAACGUAUAUUCCAACUCCGAGAUGCUUGCACUAGUCCAUAGAUGGAUCGCUGGAGCUUUGCACACUUUGCUAGCACCUUUAGGAUCGACAAAACCUUCUGGUUGCAUCACAUACAACUCUUCUUUAAGAAAUCCAUUAAGGAAUGCAGGUUUGACAUCCAUUUGCCAAAUUUCAUAAAAUGCGGCAAUUGCUAACAUGAUUUGGACAAACUUUUAAGCAUCGAUACAAGUGAGAAAAUCUCAUCGUAGUCAACACCUUGAACUUGUCGAAAACAUUUUUGCGACAAUUCGAGCUUUGUAGAUAGUAACACUACUAUCAACGUCCGUCUUCCUCUUAAAGAUCCAUUUAUUCUCUAUUACUUGCCGAUCAUCGGGCAAGUCAACCAAAGUCCAUACUUUGUUCUCAUACAUGGAUCCAAUCUCAGAUUUCAUGGCCUCAAGCCAUUUCACGGAAUCUGAGCUCAUCAUCGCUUCCUCAUAGUUCGUAGGUUCGUCAUGGUCAAGUAACAUGACCUCCAGAACAGGAUUACCAUACCACUCUGGUGCGGAUCUUAUUUUGGUUGACCUACGGGGUUUGGUAGUAACUUGAUCUGAAGUUUCAUGAUCAUCAUCAUUAGCUUCCUCACUAAUUGGUGUAGGAAUCACUGGAACUGAUUUCUGUGAUGAACUACUUUCCAAUUCGGGAGAAGGUAAAUUUACCUCAUCAAGUUCUACUUUCCUCCCACUCACUUCUUUGAAGAGAAACUCCUUCUCUAGAAAGGAUCCAUUCUUAGCAACAAAUAUCUUGCCUUCGGAUCUGUGAUAGAAGGUGUACCCAACAGUAUCUUUUUGGGUAUCCUAUGAAGACGCACUUCUCCGAUUUUGGUUCGAGCUUAUCAGGCUCAAACUUUUUCACAUAAGCAUCGCAACCCCAAACUUUAAGAAACGACAGUUUAGGUUUGUUGCCAAACCACAGUUCAUACGGUGUCGUCUCAAUGGAUUUAGAUGGUGCCCUAUUUAACGUGAAUGUAGCUGUCUCUAAUGCAUAAUCCCAAAACGAUAGUGGUAAAUCGGUAAGAAAUAUCAUAGAUCGCAUCAUAUCCAAUAAAGUACGAUUAUGACAUUCGGACACACCAUUACGCUGUGUUCCAGGUGGCAUGAGUUGUGAAACUAUUCCGCAUUAUUUUAAAUGAAGACCAAACUCAUAACUCAAAUAUUCGUCUCCGCGAUCAGAUCGUAGAAACUUUAUUUUCUUGUUACGAUGAUUUUCUACUUCACUCUGAAAUUCUUUGAACUUUUCAAAUGUUUCCGACUUAUGUUUCAUCGAGUAGAUAUACCCAUAUCUGCUCAAAUCAUCUGUGAAGGUCAGAAAAUAACGAUACCCGCCGCGAGCCUUAACACUCAUCGGACCACAUACAUCAGUAUGUAUUGUUUCCAAUAAGUCAGUUGCUCGCUCCAUUGUUCCGGAGAAUGGAGUCUUAGUCAUCUUGCCUAUGAGGCAUGGUUCGCAAGCAUCAAGUGAUUCAUAAUCAAGUCAUUCCAAAAGCCCAUCAGCAUGGAGUUUCUUCAUGCGCUUUACACCAAUAUGACCUAAAUGGCAGUGCCACAAAUAAGUUGCACUAUCAUUAUUAACUUUGCAUCUUUUGGCUUCAAUAUUAUGAAUAUGUGUAUCACUACGAUCGAGAUCCAACAAACCAUUUUCAUUGGGUGUAUGACCAUAGAAGGUUUUAUUCAUGUAAAUAGAGCAACAAUUAUUCUCUAACUUAAAUGAAUAACCGUAUUGCAAUAAACAUGAUCAAAUCAUAUUCAUGCUCAACGCAAACACCAAAUAACAUUUACUCGUUCAACACUAAUCCCAAAAGUAUAGGGAGUGUGCGAUGAUGAUCAUAUCAAUCUUGGAACUACUUCCAACACACGUCGUCACUUCACCCUUAACUACUUUCUGUUCAUUCUGCAACUCCCGUUUCGAGUUACUACUCUUAGCAACUGAAUUAGUUUCAAAUGCCGAGGGGUUGCUAUAAAUACUAGUAAAGUACACACAACUAACAUGUAUAUCAAAUAUACCUUUGUUCACUUUGCCAUCCUUCUUAUCCGCCAAGUAUCUAGGGUAGUUUCACUUCCAAUGACCAUUUCCAUUGCAGUAGAAGCACUCAGUCUCAGGCUUAGGUCCAGACUUGGGCUUCUUCACUUGAGCAGCAACUUGCUUGCCAUUCUUCUUGAAGUUCCCCUUCUAUCCCUUUGCCCUUUUCUUGAAACUAGUGGUCUUGUUAACCAUCAACACUUGAUGCUCUUUCUUGAUUUCUACCUUCGUCGAUUUCAGCAUCGCGAAGAGCUCGGGAAUUACUUUCGUCAUCCCUUGCAUAUUAUAGUUCAUCACGAAGUUCUAGUAACUUGGAGAUAGUGACUAGAGAACUUUGUCAAUUACUAACUUAUCUCGAAAAUUAACUCCCACUUGAUUCAAGCAAUUGUAGUACCCAGACAAUCUGAGUACAUGCUCACUGGUUGAGCUAUUCUCCUCCAUCUUGUAGGCAAAGUACUGUCAGAAGUCCCAUACCUCUCGACACGGGCAUGAGUCUAAAAUACUAAUUUCAACUCUUGGAACAUCUUAUAUGCUCCAUGACGUUCGAAACAUUUUUGAAGUCCUGGUUUUAAGCCGUAAAGCAUAGUGCACUAAACUAUCAAGUAGUCAUCAUACCGAGCUUUUAUGAAAACGUUCAUAACGUCUGCAUCUGCUCCUGCAAUAGGUCUGUCAACUAGCGAUGCAUCAAGGACAUAAUUCUUCUGUGUAGCAAUGAGGAAAAUCCUCAGAUCACGGACCAAGUCCGCAUCAUUGCUAUUAUCAUCUUUCAAAUUAUAUUUCUCUUGGAACAUAUAAAAAUAAAUGGGGAGCUACAUCACGAGCUAUUGAUCUACAACAUAGAUAUGCUAAUACUACUAGGACUAAGUUCAUGAUAAAUUAAAGUUCAAUUAAUCAUAUUACUUAAGAACUCCCACUUAGAUAGACAUCCAUCUAGUCAUCUAAAUGAUCACGUGAUCCAAAUCAACUAAACCAUGUCCGAUCAUCACGUGAGAUGGAGUAGUUUUCAAUGGUGAACAUCACUAUGUUGAUCAUAUCUACUAUAUGAUUCAUGCUUGACCAUUCGGUCUCCAGUGUUCCGAGGCCAUAUCUGCAUAUGCUAGGCUCGUCAAGUUUAACCCGAGUAUUCUGCGUGUGCAAAACUGGCUUGUACCCGUUGUAUGUGAACGUAGACCUUAUCACACCCGAUCAUCACGUGGUGUCUCGGCACGACGAACUAUCGCAACGGUGCAUACUCAGGGAGAACACUUAUACCUUGAAAUUUAGUGAGAGAUCAUCUUAUAAUGCUACCACCGAACUAAGAAAAAUAAGAUGCAUAAAGGGUAAACAUCACAUGCAAUCAAUAUAAGUGAUAUGAUAUGGCCAUCAUCAUCCUGUGCCUUUGAUUUCCAUCUCCAAAGCACCGUCAUGAUUACCAUCGUCACCGGCUUCACACCUUGAUCUCCAUCGAAGCAUCGUUGUCGUCCCGCCAACUAUUGCUUCUACGACUAUCGCUACCGCUUAGUGAUAAAGUAAAGCAAUUACAUGGCGAUUGCAUUUCAUACAAUAAAGCGACAACCAUAUGUCUCCUGCCAGUUGUUGAUAACUCUGUUACAAAACAUGAUCAUCCGAUACAACAAUUUAUAUAUCAUCACGUCUUGACCAUAUCACAUCACAACAUGCCCUGCAAAAACAAGUUAGACGUCAUCUACUUUGUUGUUGCAAGUUUUACGUGGCUCCUACGAGCUUAGCAAGAACCAUUCUUACCUACGCAUAAAAACCACAACGAUUUUUUGUCAAGUGUGCUUUUUUAACCUUCAACAAGGACCGGGCGUAGCCACACACGAUUCAACUAAAGCUGGAGAAAUAGACACCCACUAGCCACCUGUGUGCGAAGCACAUCGGUAGAACCAGUCUCGCGUAAGCGUAUGCGUAAUGUCGGUCUGGGCCGCUUCAUCCAACAAUACCACCGAAUCAAACUAUGACAUGCUGGUAAGCAGUAUGACUAUUAUCGCCCACAACUCUUUGUGUUCUACUCGUGCAUACAACAUCUACGCAUAAACCUGGCUCUGAUACCACUGUUGGGGAACACAGUAAUUUCAAAAAAAUUCUACGCACACGCAAGAUCCAUCUUGGUGAUGUAUAGCAACAAGCGGGAGAGUGUGUCCAUGUACCCCCGUAGACCGAAAGGGGAAGCAUUAUGACAACGCGAUUGAUGUACUCGUACGUCUUCACGAUCUGACCGAUCCUAGCACCGAACGUACGGCACCUCCACGAUCUGCACACGUUCAGCUCGGUAACGUCCCACAAACUCUAGAUCCAGCUGAGGUCGAGGGAGAGUUUCGUCAGCACGACGGCGUGAUGAUGGUGUUGAUGAAGUUACCGACGGAGAGUUUCGCCUAAGCACUACAACGAUAUGACCGAGGUGGAAAUCUGUGGAGGGGGCACCGCACACGGCUAAGACAACUGUCAACUUGUGUGUCCUGGGGGUGCCCCCCUCCCCCGUAUAUAAAGGAGCAAGGGAAGGGGGCCGGCGGCCUCAUAUGGUGCGCCCCAAGGGGGAAUCCUACUCCUACUAGGAAUACGUUCCACCUUUCCUAGCCCAAUUAGGAGGGGAAGGAAAGAGGAGGAGGAGAGUAGGAAAGAGGGGGCCGGCCCCCAAGCCCUAAAACAAUUCAGUUUGGGCCUAGGGCAGCGCGCCCCACAGCUCCCUAGCUGCUCUCUAUUUCCACUAAGGCCCAUGAAGGCCCAUUGACCCGCCGGGGUGUUCCGGUAACUCCCCGGUAGUCCGGUAUUUAUCCGGUGACCCCCGGAACCUUUUCGGUGUCCGAAUAUAACCUUUCAAUAUAUCAAUCUUUAUGUCUCGAUAAUUUGGAGACUCCUCGUCAUGUCCUUGAUCUUUCCGGACCCUACGGGUUCGAGAACUAUGUAGACAUGACCGUGACACAUCUCCGGUCAAUAACCAAUAGCGGAACCUGGAUGCUCAUAUUGGAUCCUACAUAUUCUACGAAGAUCUUUAUCGGUCAAACCGCAUAACAACAUACGUUGUUUCCUUUGUCAUCAGUAUGUUACAUGCCCGAGAUUCGAUCGUCGGUAUCAUCAUACCUAGUUCAAUCUUGUUACCGGCAAGUCUCUUUACUCGUUCCGUAAUGCAUCAUCCCGCAACUAACUCAUUAGUCACAUUGCUUGCAAGGCUUAUAGUGAUGUGCAUUACCGAGAGGGCCCAGAGAUACCUCUCCGAUACACGGAGUGACAAAUCCUAAUCUUGAUCUAUGCCAACCCAACAAACACCUUCGGAGACACCUGUAGAGCAUCUUUAUAAUCACCCAGUUACGUUGUGACAUUUGAUAGCACACAAGGUGUUCCUCCGGUAUUCGGGAGUUGCAUAAUCUCAUAGUCUGAGGAACAUGUAUAAGUCAUGAAGAAAGCAAUAGCAAUAAAACUUAACGAUCAUUAUGCUAAGCUAACUGAUGGGUCUUGUCCAUCACAUAAUUCUCCUAAUGAUGUGAUCCCGUUCAUCAAAUGACAACAUGUCUAUGGUCAGGAAACUUAACCAUCUUGAUUAACAAGCUAGUCUAGUAGAGGCAUACUAGGGACAGUUUGUUUUGUCUAUGUAUUCACACAUGUAUCAAGUUUCCGGUUAAUACAAUUCUAGCAUGAAUAAUAAACAUUUAUCAUGAUAUAAGGAAAUAAAUAGUAACUUUAUUAUUGCCUCUAAGGCAUAUUUUCUUCAUAUUCCUCCCGCGGUAGGCUCACCGGCUUCCCCGACUUCCCCGUACCGGCGCCGCUACAGAGGCCGCCACAGCGUGCGGCAGCGGGCGGGGCACGUGGCUGGCCGAGAUCAUGGAUUGGCACACCGACAAAAAGCAUUGGCUUGGAUCCUUUCACACCGCCAGGCAGGCAGCCUGCGAGUAUGACAGUUAAUUGGUGUGGCUGGAUGGUGUCGAGGGCCGCCGGAAUUUUGAGUUGGGUGAAAUGCCGUUGCUGGAUCCAGUUCAGCCAGGGGUGGUAAACGCACGGGAGGCAAGGGAGGACCGGCAGGCGAGGGUAAGGUUCACGACGGAGGCCGCCGCCGAGGCGUACAUGGCUGAGCUCCACUGCGGGUACCCAGAGCAAGUGGAGGCGAAGCGCCGCCUGUAUGAGCAGUGGGCGGCACGGGAGGAGGGGGCAGUGGUCAUCGUCUUGUCAAGCAACGACGAGGACAACAGAGGCAACGGAAGUGUAGGCGGCGAAGGAAGCAACGACGCCGGCUUCCAAAAUGUCUGAUGUUGAAUAUUCCGCGGUAACGAGGACGACGACACAGGGCUGACCCCAUGGUCAGUGGGAUAUCCAGGGCGUGCAUGUCGCUCAUGCAUGAUAGCGACUAGAUUAGUAAGUUUUAUGCCUAUGUUUCGGUUAGAUUAGUUAAGUAGACUAUGUUUUACGUUUGUAAAAUAUUAUGGCCAUGUGUCGAAUUAUGGCUAUGUUUAAUCGAAUUUGUGUUCAUCAUAUCCGAAUUCAGUAUUACUCUAAUAAAUUUAGGGGAUCGGCUAGGUCAUGUCAAAAAAGAGUGGAGUGUAAAUAAUCCACUAAGCUUUACUCGGCUGGGUACUCCACUAUUUUUAUGGAAUCGGCUAGAGAUACUCUAAGUGAGAAUAGCUAUCCCUUUUUCCCAUCAAGAAAAAGUGUUACAUAUUCCUAAUAAUAGUUCUAAGUUUUUCUGCUUGAAAACAUUCUUCAAUGUUUUGUGUAUUCACAACUCUAGGCCGUACGACUCCAUCGGUUGAUGACUACUAUUUUUCCAAUAAAAACAUUACUAGAGUUCUGAGCCAGAUCAAACAAUCCUGUACAUACCACAGUGUGUCGUUGAGACUAUCCAUAGCGGGGGGUAACUUAGACUACCUAUAUAGUGGGGAGUAACAUAUGCGUGUUGUCAUGCAACACUUCAUUUAUUAGGUUGUAGACUUAUCUUGUCUUGGUACGUGUGAUGUUACUCGUAGUGUGAGACCACAUGCCACUCUUUUCUCAUUAAUUACUCCCUCCAUUUCUUUUUUACUCUGCCUAUAAAAUUAGCGUCUAGUCAAAUUUUGUAAAGUUUGACCAAAUUUAUAUUAAAAAAUCUCAGCAUCUACAUUACUAAAUAUAUAUUUGAUAAGAAACUAAAUUCCAUAAUGAUUCUAAUGAUAUUGGUUUGGUAUUGUGAAUGUUGAUAUUUUUUUCUAUAAGUCUGGUUAAACUAGAGAUACUUUGACUUUGGGCAAAACUUAUAUGCAGACUAAAAAUGAACGGAGGGAGUAUUUGCCACAUCAUCUAUUUUACCUAAUAUGUGUGAUGUUACCACUUUCGUUACUCCCACUAUGGGUAGUCUGACAAUCUCAUCUUGCCAGUAUAUCAACAUUUUGUUUUUUGGUACCGACAAAUUAAAUUUCUUGACAAAAUUAAUUUAAGUUAACAAUAAUGAAGACAAUCGAAAAUCUUAUAUUCAAAAUUAAUUUCAAAUAGUUUCGGUAGGGUUUAGAUAUCAUGUUUUGCAUUUUUGGAAUCAAAUAUUUCAAUUAAGAAGUGGCAAAUGUUCAUAUAUAUUAAAAUAAUAAUAAUGUUACUAAUAUACUCCCUUAGUGAUUAAAGAUCUUAUAUUUUUUACAGAGAGAGUAAUUCAUAACUAUUCGGUCAAAUCCCCCUCCUCUAACUGUAUCCCUAUUUCUAAAAUUCACCUUAUUUAUUCCCGAAUCCCUAACCCUAGCUUGACACAGACGAUGAUUAGUAGGUCGAUACUUAUGUGUGGUAACGACGUCGGUGACAACGGGGUGGCUCACUGUGGUGGUGAAAUCCACACAUGGUAGUCUCUUGAGCCUGCUUGAGAGAUGGGCGCCGACGCAAGGAUGGUGGAUGGUGAGCCGUGGGCGGAUGUUCAUGUAGUGUAUCAUGGCUCAGAUGCAUAGGUUGGUAAAAACUGUGCAAGAUACACACGUUGUCGUAAUGUCACUAGAGACCACUCCUACUUAUCAUAAAGAAAGCUUGCACAACCUAAGCCAAACAAACAUGUUCUAAGGAUGGACAAGAAUCUCCAUUGAAGUAAGGCUCCUAUUUAUGAUAAUUUUUUUGAUGAUACGACUUAUGUUUUCAUUGAUAAGAGAAUUGCCACAUGUGUAGAAAUUGAACACGAAUAUAUUAAAAUGAUUGGUCAUAUUGGUCGUUCUUUUAUGGUAGAGUUAAAAUUGAUUAUGAUGAUUCUAACCUCUCUGAAAUUAUGUGAAUUUUGCAAUGUCAAAAGUACAAUUAGUGAGGCAUGCUAGUUGAGCGCCAUCGAUUGGAUCUCAGCUACCAUCUCAUUCUUUCUCUACCUAUUUUUCUACCACAGAAUUUGUUACCAGCUUCAAACUAUGCUUACAUGUGUAAGAAUGCCCCAAGUGAAAUAAGCAAUUUUGUUUUAUCUUUAAACACGGAUGGAAAGGUGAGUAGAGGUCUAGAGGAGGUUCCCUUGCAGCUUGCUAAAACAAGGAGAACAAUGAUUGGAUAUCGAUCCAUGCGGUUGGCAAUUCAAUUGAGUCAUUUUACAAUGCAUCCGGACGAUAUGGACCGUCCGUCGGAGCGAAUUCGACGGUCCAGAUCCGAUGCAAUACGCUGAUGUCACGUGUAUUAUAUCACACCCCGAGGGGCAUUUUUGGGAGAAAAAAUAUUUCGAACUGAUCUGAUUUUCCCUCCCAAAUAUUUCGAGGGUAUUCUCGGUAAGAAUUUCAGGGCUAUUUUCGGUUCGAUAUUUAUCCCGUUCGCUAGGGUUUAUUCCUCGCCGCCGCUACGGUUUUAAUCCUCGCCGGCAGGAUCUAGCCGCUCGUCGCAGCCCCUCCCUCCCUCGUCGCCGGCAGGAUCUAGCCGCGCGUCGCGGCCCCUCCCUUCCUCCACCCCAAUUCCCUCGCGAUCUCGCACCACCUUUUCAACGAACACGAAGGAGGCCCACUGCCCUCCCCGCGGCGGCUGCCGGCGAAGAGUCGGCGCCAUCCCACCUCCCAGUCCUCCAUGCAAGUGCCUAUAGCCACAAGGUUGGAGGAAACCUCUUUCCCACACCCCAAUUGGUUGUUUGCGUCCUCUACAUAUCAUUUCUCAGCCAUGGCUGCAGCUUUGAUCUGGCCAUGCAUCUCGUCUGAUGGCAAGGUGGUUGGGUAUGGAUCAUGUUCUGCGGGACUAGAUGAAGCCGGCCGCCGGCCUCGACGGCCAGCCCCAUUCGUCCAGCCCCGACUGCUUGAUCUACGAACGUUCAAUCGUUGCAUUCAACAUGUAUUCUUUCAAUUUUGCUGAUAGGUGAGAUUUGGAGAUCAAUAGAGAUGAUAAACUAUUAAUUUUGGAAUGUACUAUAAACAAUUCAUAGCUUAUGUUGCUCAAUAUUUACGAUGCUCGCUUCUUCUUGUGCAAUUGCUGGACUGGGAUCAACAGACUUGGCAUGUGCUUUAUAUGAAAAAUUAGAUUCACAUGGGAUAUCCACCUUUUCAAGAUUGCUGUUAAGUCUUAUUAUGAUGUUUUAGCCUUGUUAAAGGGAGAGUAAUGGUCCUCGCAAAAAGCAGAGAGAAAGGAAUGAGCAUUCGAUUCUUCCAUAUGUUGCAUUUCAUUCUUCCAUGUUUAGUUAUGUCUAACAUUUGUUACAUGCACACACUUGACAAGGUUAGUACAAGUAGUAAUUUCCUCUGUUUUGCAGGGCUAUGACAGAACAUGCUAUGUGAUUCCCUGAGGCAGGAUGGAUGUACCAUGGCCACAGCACUAUGCUCCUGAAGGUAACCGCUUCAAUUCAGCGUUGCAGCACCUGUAGAGCCCCCCUAUGGUACGUGCUUUUACUCUUGUUAUCCUAUGCUCUAUUAUUUUGGCUUUGCAGCCUGCCUACGAGACAUAGCUGGGAUUGCGUGUUGAAUCGGGCAGUAUUUUUGACUUCUGUUGUGAGGCUAUGCUCAUGCUUUAAUAAAUUUUUCUCUCGUAUGAAAAUAGACAUAUCAUAAUCCAUUAUUCUUCUAGGGUUGCCCCAGGCACCAUUACUGUCACAUGGUAGUAAAAAGCAAAUAUAGAUUUCUACGAGAUCCUGUAGAGACCAAAUUUAUUUCAAGCAAAAUAUAGUAACCAAUAUUAUUAAAGUUUUAUAACUUGACUCAUGUGCAAUGGACUAAGGACACGGCUAGGAAACCUUCUUUGGGACUAAAACCCAACCACACCCUACUCUACCGCUUUAUGGCCAAGUGUACACUCCACAUGUAAGAAUGAACCACAAUGCUGGACUAACUGCUUGCAUCCUCGUCGUCUUCAACCGCAGUUGCAUCCGAUUGCCUAGCAUGGUACUGCUUGAACCUACUCCUGUAUUUUAUUUUGUUGUAGGGUGAAUCGACAAGCACAACAGGUAGCUCUCUUCUAAAUUUGUCGAUGUAGGCCUGCAUGCGAGGACAUGUUAGUAUCGUUCCAUAUGUUUCAGAAAAUGACAGAAUUUUAGGUGUUACUCUACGUACUUCGUCAUAUUGCAACCUCAGUUUUACUCCUGUAAAUAAUUCGAUGUUCUUCAGCAUGUACAGUGCACAACAAGAACUGCAACAUUUUAUGUUGUUAGAUCAGCAUUUCAGAUAUUAACAAUCUAAAACAAAAACAAAAGCUAAUAUUGUUGACUGACGUCUCAUCGGAUUUUGGCACAUUAAUAUUCCGUACUGGCCAUUGCAUCACGUUAAUGUCUUCCCAUGCAUUGCUUUCAAUCCCAUUGACUCGCAUCGCUGCUCUCAGAUGUGCUUCCAUCCCACGUACCUGCAAGCCCAAUGGGAUGAGAAGUUGCCUACGACUAAUACUUACAUACGAUGUUAAAUCCUUUCUUUUAAUUAAAUAUGUUGAAAUUCUCACCACGUUAUUUACUUCUCUGGGUAUCAUACAGUGGAAAAGUGAAUCAAGAACCUGAAUCUCCUUCCUUCUGGGUUUACGACCACAAGGAACCAGUGGGUGUUUAAACUAUUCAUAGGUAGGAAAACCUGGAGUGCACAGAUAAAUUAGAUCAACGUGCAUAAUAAUAAAAAAGUCUGUUCUACGUCAGCUUAAAAUACCAUAUCAUGUUUCAGGUAGGUGGUGCCUUCUGUUGUUCCAGGAAUGCCUGCCAAAGCGUCCUCGUAGCACUCCUCUAUCCUACCAUCUCUUUCGAGCUUAGCGACGCCGGCCACCCUCUCAAUGUAAACCAGUUGGCCAUCCCUUGUGUCAAUUGGUUGAUUAUGACACAUGAGCUAGAUCGCAGAUCAACCACCUACAACAAUAAUCAAGUUAAUUGUAUUGUACAAAAAUGAAACUUCAUAAACUAAUUUGUGAAAUACUAUCUUACUUCGUCACCCAACCAUACGCCAUCUUCAGAUUCAUCUUUAUGGGCGAGGCAUUGCAAAUGCUUUGAUAGCACGACAAUGUCAUCAACUAAGACCAUUUGUUUUUCACGAUUUGUAGUGUUGAUUAGUGACGCCACGAAAUCCUGUCGAACCACGUCUAGCUGGUCCCUCUGGGUUUCAGGAACUUCUGACCUCUUUUUUAAGUUGCUAGAGCCGAUUUUCCUCUUUUUAUUGUUCGUGUCCUCGGAACCAUUUGUACACUCUGAUGGAGUCUUGUUUUUCCUUUUUUUUCUUCUCAGUGUCGUACGAAGCAUACUCGUCAUUCUUAAAUAAUUGCAAUACCACCCUUUUCUUUUCGCCCCCAUGAUUUGGUGGCGUCGAUUCAACCACACUUACUUGUUGCUGCUUUUGAAAGGAUUCAUCAUGGCUGUCAUCAUCUUUGAAGGUACGGGGCUCUUCAGGAUCUCGCAAUCCCAUAGCCUUCACAGAGUGCUGCUUACUUCGUCUGUUGAACGGAUUCUGUCGGACGAAAUAAACCGCGUGUUAGCCUUUAGCAGAUUCUUGCUCAAUUAUAGGUAAAAUGUGCAUCACCUGGAAAUCUUCAAGGCUUGUGGUGGCUUUGGAAUGCAUUUGCUUAUCAAAACUAGGAGCUCCCUGGAUAUCAUCCACCUCUUUCAGAAGCUUAUGAACACCACUGAGAUCCUGUUUGAUUUUUGCAGCAGCUCUUUCGAAUGCUUCAUCCUGUAUGUGGAAGAUCAAAUGUUAUUUCUGAAACAACAAUGAUUGUUUCAUAAUUAAGUUAACAUGCGUACGUCAAAAUCUUCAUCAAGGUUCUUCAUGGGGGGCUCCAUGUCAUCAUUUUUUAUUCCCUGCUUACAAUCGUGCUUAGCAGCGACCUCCGUGACAUCCUUUUGUUUCCCCUGGUCAGAAGCCUGCUCAGCAUUCUCAACAGAGGCCUCCAUUGGGUGUGAAGGUGCCCCGAGGUCAGAUAGAUGUAUGUCCUCCACUCCUGGAAAUAUUCCAUCCUGUUUUUUCUUUAAAAAACACAUGUUAGUCUGGGGUGUUUUUAUAGUAAACUAAAUUAGAAAAAAACUUGUACACGUAAAUUUCCAAUUAUAUAUACUAAUCUCAUAAUUCUAGGCUUACCUUCAAUUCUUUGAUGAGGUCCUCCGUGAGCUUGCCAUUUGUACGGGUACGCCUAAGGCACUCAUCCAUUUUCUUUUCAAGGGUGCACAUCAUAUGGUUUUGUUCUGUACCGGACUCCCGCACGAGGGAGGCAACUUCUUGCAAAUCAGUCAAUACACGUCCGACGAGUACCUUAAUCUGAGACUUUGAAACAGUUAGAAUCAUAUAACUUCAUACUAGUUGGAAUGUUACAAUAUGUAUUUGUGCCUGAUGUAACUCAUUUACUUGAGCGCCAGUCUUCGGAUUGGCCAGCGUACCAUCUCGUGCUGGAAUGAAAGGCCUCAUCAGGUCCUCAACAUACUGCAGUUUAGUGUCGUUAGUAUGAUUUAGAAAAUAUUUAUGUUACAUAAUCCAGGCAAUGUGCAGACAUUUUACCUCUCCAACUCCCAGAUAAUUAUUCUGGAUUAUAUUGUCAACCUUUUUUGCCUUCUCCUCGCUCCAGUUCUGGAUCAGCGGCCUUAACCUUGAUUCAUACGAGAUGCUAGAGUCCAAUUGGUGCACUCUGAACUUCUCAUAGUACCAUGUCUGCAUGACAACAAAAGCACUUUACAAACAUUCCCGUACAUUAUGUAAUGUAUGUUAGGUAACUGAUAAUUGUACUACUACGAAUUACCUGCAGCAGUGGUAGAUUCCCCUCCAGAAUUGCCUCACCAUUUACAAAAUUCUUCACGCUAUCCAUAAGAUAGUCAAGCUUUAGCUGUCCAAGAUUUGUGCCCUUUAUCGUCUCAACGUUUCUAACAACCCCAAUAUAUUUGUUAUCCACAUACUCCUCUUUUGUUCGGCAUACAUAUUUGCCUAUGGUGUAGAAGACAAAUGACUUGACAAAAUUUGGUGUGCUGUCGACUUUCAUCUUGGCUAGCAAUCCUUUGAAAGUUAUUUUGGUGUCAUUACGGUCUUUCAGUUUCUUCCACAACUCCAUAUUAUCAUCCGAUUUGAAGGGACGUGCUUUUUCCCAUGGCAGGGCAUGCCUGUUAUAUGCGCUACAUCUUCUAGUGUGAUCCUACAUGGUCUCCCAUUGAUGAUAAAGGCAUCCUGCUCUGCAUCAUAUGAAUUAGCGAUGGCCAGGUAGAGUACACGUCUAAUUUUGAUGCUAGGUGUCUUGAGAAGUCCACCCAGUCCUAUCAACUGGAUGUACAUCCUUUGCUGCGUGUUUAAUCCGUUUAUGAACUCCUCAUAUGGCGGCAAAGAAGCAUCCUGGGUUCAAUGGAUGUGCUAGUGUGAUUAGAUUCAACAUCUAUACAAUUUAAACACUCAUACAGACGAAUACAACUUAUAUAUACCAACAUAAAAAUUGUGCUCUACGCUACUGCAUGAGGUACAAGCAUGCUGAGUUCCAUGUAUGUGCAAAUACUAUCAUGUGAUUCAGCUUGGUUACGUUUGAACGGUCAUCUAAGGUAAUCUCCAUUGCAAGGCACUUAUCUGAAAUAAAAUAAAGAUUGGAAAAUAAAAAACUAUCCAACCGGUCUCCUCAACUCUAGGCGCUAAUCAUGGUCAGUAGUAUGGAAUUAAAACAUGGGCCAUCGAUGCCUUCCAUAACUCGUGCGGAAGGAAAAAAAGAAGGCAAGCGCCCACUGCACUAAUUAGCAUCGACAAGACUAGACGCUAAGAUUUAGCCUCGAAUUAAUCAAUGAACUGCCAAUCUGGUCGGAAACAAAUCCUAGCGCCCUCCCCUAACGCCCCCCAACUUAAUUUGUUUAAAAACGUGCUGAGUUACAUGAAUAUGCAAACAACGAGUGGGGUCGCAGUAAGAGAUCAUGGGAGGAAGAUCGUGGCACGAAAAAUAGCAGCGACUGAGAUCGUGGGGAGUUACCAGAGGAUUCAUGUUUGGCUCCGUCGUUCGGUCUUGCUGGAUUCCUGGGUUGCUCCGUCCUUCUGUCUUGCUGGUUUGGGCAGCGCAGAAAGACGAACUAUUAUCUACGAGGUUUCAAAGGAUCCCUAUUUAUAGGGAUCGUAACAACCCGGGCAUAUAUCUGCGUAUAGAUUUCUUUGGUUGGAGGAAAUCAAGGGAGGGGACCCACCUGGUUGAAUAUUAGGGGGGCGUGGAGAGUUUAGCAAAGGUAAGUUAUGGUUUGAAAAAAAUCAAGGUAAGUUGUGUAACAACAUGUAGGUCUCCUGAGAAUCACGAUCAUCAAAAAGAUAUCAUUCCCGUUUCUUUGAAAAUCAGCCAAAAGAACUGGACCGCUUUUAUUAUUGCUUAUAAGUAAUUCACUGGACCUCUUUUAGGAUGAAAACUGGUUCUAAAGUCAACUAAGAUUGAGUCUUCACACGUGAAGUAUUUUACUCUCUUGUGAAGCUAUUUUAUUGCCCAUCCGAUCUUGCAUGCUCAUGCUCAUACCUUUUUUCCUCGUAUAUGUGAGACCAAAUUUUGUUAAUAAUACUGAAUCAUGUCUGGUGCUGCUCAAGAUGGCGCGACACCAUGGUUUUCACUACGGUGAGAUUUCGAUGAAAUAACUGAACUUCAUUCAUUUCAGCACUCACUGCAAUAUUUGCCUUUCAGCCAAAAUAUUUCAGGCUCACUGAAUUUCGGCCAAAAUAUUUCAGCACUCGCUGAAAUUUUUCUGAAACUUCUAACUAGCGAUGUUAAAAGAAAUCUGAAACUUCUAACUAGCGAUGCCAAAAUAUUUCAGCACUCGCUGAAAUUUUUCUGAAACUUCUAACUAGCGAUGUUAAAAGAAUUCUGAAACUUCUAACUAGCGAUGUUACAAAAAUUCCGAAGCUUCUAACUAGCGAUGUAAUUGUUCUGAAUCUUGUCCAGACUCCGACGACACUUAAAUAUAAAUUUAAGAAUUCAGUUAAACUUCCUAAGCUUCAAAAGUUCUGGUUGUAAAAAGAAAAUAUAUGUUUCAACGUCUCCCAUGCAGACCAAAUUUAUUUCCAGAAUAGUAUUUGGAACCAGUACUGUGAAAUAUUACAACUUGAUUAAUCCGCACUGGACUAUAAAAAUGGCUAGGAAACCUUCUUCGGGACUAAAACCAAACCACACCCUACUCUACCGCUUCAUAACCAAGUGUACACUCCAGAUCUAAGAAUCAACCACUGCUGGACUAACUGCUUGCAUCUUCAUGAUCUUCAAUCGCAGCUGCAUCCGAUAGGCUAGCAUUAUACUUCUUCGGCCUUUUCAUGGACUUCAAUUUGUUGUAGGGCGAAUUAAGAAGGACAACAGGCAGCUCUCUUCUAUAAUUGUCAAUGUAUGCCUGCAUGGGAGGAUAUGUUAGUAUCGUUCCAUAUGUUUACAAAAUUGACAGAAUUUUAGGUGUUACUCUACGUACUUGGUCAUAACGCAGCGUAAGAUCUUCUACUUAAAGAAUUCGAUGUUCUUCAGCAUGUAGAGUGCACAAGAAGAACUACAACAAUUAAUUCUGUUAGCACCAUUUCACGUAUUAACAAUGAAAAACAUAUUUAGAAGCUAAUACUGUUGACUGACUUGUCAUCUUUACUUGGAACAUGAACAUGCUUUACUGUCCAUUGCGUCACGUUAAUGUCUUGCCAUGCAUGGCUUUGUGGUCCAUUGAUUCGCGGUGAUGCUCUCAGAUGUGCUUCCACCCCACGUAUCUGCCGAAGUCCAUGGUAUGAGAAGUUGCUCACGAUUCAAGGUUAGGUAUGAUGCUAAAUGCUGUGUUAUAUCGAAAGAUGUUUAAAAUCUCACCACGUGAACCACUUGUGUGCUUACUACGUAUCUGAAAAGUGAAUCAAGAAUCUGAAUCUCCCUCCUUCCGGGGUUUACAACCACAAGGAACCAGUGGGUGUUCGCCAUGUUCAUAGGUAGAAAAACCUGGACAACAAAGAUGAUUACAUCAACAUGCAUAAUAAUUAGAAAAAUAAAUGUGUUUAUGUCAUGGUUAGAUGGUACCAGAUCAUGUCUGAGGUAGUUGUCUCCUUUUCUCGUUCCAUGACUGCCAGCCAAAGCGGCCUCGUGGCAGUUUUGGAUCAGCGACCUUAACCUUGAUGCAUACGAGAUGGUAUAGUCCAAUUGGUGCACCGUCCACUUAUCGUAGUACCACGUCUGCAUUACAACAAAAAUAGCUUAGAAUUUUUUCCAUAAAAUUAAAUGUAUGGUAUGUUAAUAAUGAUUGUAUUACUUGCAGCAGUGCUAGGUUGCCCUCCAGAUUUGCUCCACCAUUUACUAGUCCUUCCUUCCCAUAUCGUUGUACGUAUAACUUUCCAACACGAAAAUUAGCGCAAGUUUCAUUACAAAGAGAGGCAUUCAUGACUAAAAAUGGAAGGCAUGCACGAUCUCCCGUAAGUUUUGCUAAAGCACAUCUAGAUGUGCUCUAAGUAUUGCUUAUCAAAGUCUUAUGUCAUUGAUUUUAUGCUAAGAUUUGUGCAAGCCUUUUUUUGUCCUUUUUUCUUUUCUUUCUAGACACACCCGUAUCCCUUCGGUAUAAUGGGAUUGCAUGAAGACUUGGGAAGGAGGGAGUAUACAGAAUACAAGGAUCUCGAUCGUUACCGGAGGAUUCUCUCGAUGGCGACCGACUCCAUUGCCGUUUGCUUUCAUCUUUUGCUUCGCCGGCUUCUCCGACGUCACCGACCUGGUAGCUACUUUGGGUGGCGUGCGGUGGUAAUUCGGUGUAGUCAUGGAAGGCUAGGUGUGGGGUGGAAGUAUACGAUCUAUGUCGUGAAAAGCUUCGUAUUUAUAGGGGAUUCUCUAACAACCGAUCACAAGGAAAUAUUGGGAAUUUGGGAUCUCACGAAGAGGUAGUUUUAGAUCACAUAAUGUUUAUUUAUAGGGGAUUCUCUAACAACCCACCACAAGGAAAUAUUGGGAAUUUGGGAUCUCACGAAGAGGUAGUUUUAGAUCACGUAAUGUUUUUAGCUAGUUUUUUAUUUUGCGAUUUUUUUAGCAAGUUUAGAUCAGUAAUCUCAACCGUGAAGCGUUUGGGCUUCUUGUGCUUUCUUAUACGGGCCUAUUAUAAUGGGAUGCGCCCAUUUGAAAUGUGAACAUGAGAAAGGAAGUGAGGACUCCAACGGCUGCGACGAGCCCCGUCCCAAUUAUUUGUGAUGUAUUUUACUCUCUUGUGAAGCUAUUUUAUUGCCCAUCCGAUCUUGCAUGCUCAAAAUCAUACCUUUUUUCCUCGUAUCUGUGAGACCAAAUUUUGUUAAUAACACUGAAUCAUUUCUGGUGCUGCUCAAGAUGUCACGACACCAUGGUUUUCACUUCGGUGAGAUUUCGAUGAAAUAACUGAACUUCAUUCAUUUCAGCACUCACUGCAAUAUUUGCCUUUUAGCCAAAAUAUUUCUGCACUCACUGAAAUUUUUCUAAAACUUCUAACUAGCGAUGUUAAAAAAAUUCUGAAACUUCUAACUAGCGAUGUUAAAAAGAUUCUGAAACUUCUAACUAGCGAUGUAAUUGUUCUGAAUCUUGUCCAGACUCCGACGACACUUAAUUAUAAAUUUAAGAAUUCAGUUAACCUUCCUAAGCUUCAAAAGUUCUAGUUGUAAAAAGCAAAUAUAUGUUUCAGCGUCUCCCAUGCAGACCAAAUUUAUUUCAAGAAUAGUAUUUGGAACCAGUACUAUGAAAUAUUACAACUUGAUUAAUCCGCACUGGACUAUGCACAUGGCUAGGAAACCUUCUUCGGGACAAAAACCAAACCACACCCUACCACUAGUAGGAAAAGGGGCUUUUACCCUGGUUUGUAACGGCCUUUUGUCCCGGUUUUCGAACCGGGACUAAAGGGUCAUUACUAAAGCCCUAACCCUUUAGUCCCGGUUCUUACACGAACCGGGACAGAAGGUCCUUCACGUGGCCGCUGCUGCCAGCCCAGGCAGGGGGGCCUUUUGUCCCGGUUGGUGCCAACAACCGGGAAUAAUAGGCAGGGCCUUUUGUCCCGGUUGGUGUCACCAACCGGGACCAAUAGGCAGGGCCUUUUGUCCCGGUUGGUGUCACCAACCGGGACCAAUAGGUAUCCACGCGUCAGCAUUUCAGGGGCUGGGGUUUUUGUUUUUUUCUGAAAGGGGGGGGGUUGGGGGGUUUUGGGGGUUAAUUUAGGUGUUCCAUAUAUUGUGUUAGCUAGCUAAUUAAUAGAGAGAAGUGUCCUCUCUUAUCUCCGUGCUUGGUCGACGCUACCUAUUAUAUACAUAUGGAGAGGACUAGACACGCUAGCUAGUAAGCAAAUGAAGGAAACAGAAGAUCGUCAUGAACAUAUGCAUGCAGAGAGAAGUGAUAUCGACCACCUCUCCUUCUCCGAGAGAUUGGUCGAACAACAAGUUCUCGUAUAUCUAUCUGACACUACCGGCUACAUAUAUACAAUAAUUAUCUCUUACAAUAUAAUCUCCUAAUUAAAUUGUAAGAACACAAGGUCCACAUAGUAUUCUCCGUUUUCAGCGAUCACGUGGUCAAGGAAGAAUGCCGCCAAUUCCUCUUGAAUUGAUCGCAUACGAUCUUCUGCUAGGAGUUCAUCCCGCAUCCGAAACAUCUAAUUUGAAGAAGGGGGUCAAUACCUAUAUAUAUGAAUAAAUGAAACUCGACACAAAUGAUGGUAAUAAAAUAAAAUUGUGAAUAUAAUUGCUUACGCACUUCAUAUUGUUCGUCAGAGUAGCCCCGCUCACAGGUCGUGUGGUGGAUAGACUCGCAAACGUAGUAUCCACAGAAAUCAUUCCCUUGUUCCUGCCACAACCACUUUACAAGAAAUGGAGGCCAAUCUAACUGAUAAGAAAGCAUGCUAAAUGGUAUUGAUGAAACUAGCGCUUGAAUCACUAGGAGAUGUGCGGAACAUGCUACUCUUGUACUUACUUUCGGGUGUCUAAAUUGCAGCUUCUUCGCCAGUCCCGGAGCUUUUGUGGCGAAUUUUCUCCAAACCCUGCCAGACAAAGAAAACAAUUACUUGAUAUCAGGAAAUGAACAAAGUUGCUGAUAUGGUGAAUAAUGAUCGAUUUAACUUACUUCUCGAGCAUUUGAGUCAUGUCCGCAUAGUCCUGGGGAUCUUUUCGUCUCGAGUCUAAGACGAUUACUACUCCCUGCUCAAGCUUAAUCUCUAGGAGAAUAUAGUGGAAGCUGCGCAUGCAUGCAUAAGUCAUCAAUUACAUUACCAUAACAUGGACUAAUAAGGGAAACCGAAUAUGCACAAGACAGUAACACUCACUUGAAGUUGUAAGGAAAGAGUAUUAUAUCUUUGUUUUGAUUUAAUACCAACGAUCGUAGCAAGUUGGCCUCGGCUUCUUUGGGAUGUUUUUCAACCGUAAAUGCAUCUAUGAGAUUUGUGUUAGUGAACCCAAUAUCACCGAUUUGUCUUUUCUUAAAUUCGGUGAUCUUCAAUCUGCAUAAUAUAGUGAGGAUAAUUAUAAAUACAUGCAAUUAAAGAGCUGACCUAUAUAGAGAGACUUAAUGACAGAAGUAGUACUACUUACAGACAGUAGCAAGUGAUCGUUGAUUUAUCGAGGGCCUUUUGAUUGAAAAACUGGAAGAACUCCUCAAAUGGAACAUUCAGCAGUUCAAUUCCAACGAGGUCAUGCUCCGGUUUAACUAUCAGCAUCAAAGUAUUCAUCCCAUCAGACUCUCUGCAGGUUUUCAUGUACCAAUCAUGUAAUCUUGGCAUCAUCGUUGUUAGAGAUGUUUCAUCUUUGACGAGAGGCUUCCCGUAAUGGUAUUUGUGUUCGUCCACCUCCAUGAUUUCAUAAUGUACAUCGUCGGGCAGGUAAUCUCAAAGAUUGCUAUAACCGGCCACCAUCCUCGGAUCAUUAGCGACGAUGUCUUUAGACACCUUGAGCGGGGGGCACGAUUGGUUCGCUUGUUCACUGAGCUGGGCAAUUUUUUUCCCAGCUCGUCGUUCUUUUAACCUUUGAUCACUGACAGUACUUCCCGACCGCUCCGCUUCGACAAAUGUCUUUGCAAUAAUGCGCUCGUAGUUGCCUUUCGGCGGAGACUUUGGUGGUUUUGUCAGGGCAUCCAGAGUGCGCUUCGCUUUCACCGGAUCUACCUUCUCCUCUGGAGGUGGAUGUUUCUUUGCUUUCACCCCUUCAAAGAAGUUCUUCACUUCGGCUCGCACGAUCUUCGCGUUCUCCUCCUCGGUCCUCUCGUAUGGUAACUUCUCUGGAGUCUUCAGAGAAGGACCGAAUCUGUAUUGCCUCCCGCCUCUGGCAGCUGUACUGCUAGACGCCGACAGAGCAGACGGAGCGGCUGCGGCUGUCUUCUUUCCUUUCUUACGAGGUGGAGGAGAAGGACUACGACGCGCCGGAGCAGCCGGAGCGGCGGCGGGUCUCUUCCGCCCUUGCUGACGAGGCGGAGAAGGAGUAGGCUGGCUGGUCUGGCACGCCGGCGCGGGCGGAGAAGGAGGCGGAGUGCCGCCACGCGCCGGAGAAGGAGGCUGUUGAGUGCCCUGAUCACUCGCCGGAGAAGGAGGCGGAGUGUCGCCGUGCGCCAGAGAAGGAGGCUGAGUGCCUUGAUCACUCGCCGGAGGAGGAGGCGGCGGCGGAGUGCCCUUACUCGCCGGAGGCGUCCAGUUCGGAAGGUUAAUGAGCUCCUUCUGCCAUAGGCACGGAGUCUUCAGAGCUAAACCCAGCCGAGUCUCCCCUUCACCGGUAGGGUGGUCAAGCUGGAGGUCCUCAAAUACCUCCGUUAUUUCAUCCACCAUCACCCUAGCAUAUCCUUCUGGAAUCGGCCGACAGUGGUAGGUUGCGCCGGGUUCAGGAGGUAAAACAGAGCCAACAGCCGCCUUGACUUUGAAGUUCUGCCAUUGCGCCAUAAGGUGGCAAUGUUGAGACUCCGUGAUAGCAUCCACAUGGUAUCUAGCAGGAGCCGUCAAGACAUGCUCCAGCUGAAGCAGCUCGGUGGAAGCCACGCUGCUUCUCCGCUGAGAUGGCGGGGUAGCUUCGGGGGUAGUUUCGGCAUGUCGAUUGCCAUCUCGUUCCUCUAGCGCCUUAACCCUUUCGUGCAGCUUCUGAGUUUGGGUCUGCUCCAUUUUUUUCCUCCUCUCCUGGCUUUUGUAACCGCCUGCGUCCGGAAAACCAGCCUUCCACGGAACGGAGCCUGGCGUGCCUCGUGUCCGUCCAGGGUGCUCAGGAUUCUCGAGGGCCAUUGUGAGCUCGUCGUUCUCUCUGUCUGGAACGAACGUCCCUUCCUGCGCUACAUCGAUAUAUUGCUGAAUCUUCUUGACUGGUAUUCUCAAAAACUCGUUCGUCUAGACGCACCUCCCUGAUACAGGGUCCAAGGUUCCGCCAGCCCCCAAGAACCAAGUCCGGCAACGGUCUGUCCAGUUCAUUGUCUGUGGUUCGAUCCCUUUUUCAAGCAGAUCAUUCUUAGCCUUGGCCCACUUAGGUCGGGCUUUGAGGUAGCCACCUGACCCCGUGCGAUGGUGAAGCUUCUUCUUCGCAGCAUUCUUCUUGUUUGUCGCUCACAUCUUCUUACGCUUUUCCGAUGUCUUGUGGGCCACAAAUGCGGGCCAGUGAUCUCGGAUCUUCUCAUACCGGCCGAUGAAUUCUGGUGUCUCUUCUUUGUCGACAAACGUGUUCAGCUCAUUCUUCCACCUCCUGAAUAGGCCUGCCAUCUUCUAAAGAGCAUGAGACUUGAUUAAUUGCUCUUGAACUGGCUUCUCCGGAUCCUCCUCUGGCGGUAGGGUGAAAUUUGCCUUCAGCUCAGUCGAAAGAUCAUCUUUCUACAUAUCAUUGACAUAAGACACCUCAGGGUCUUCCUUCUUAGGCUUAUACCAUUGCUGGAUGCUGAUCGGGAUCUUGUCCCUAACUAGAACCCCGCACUGAGUAGCAAAUGCGUCCUUUGUCCGGAUGGGUUCAAUCGGUUGGCCGUCGCACGCGAUUGCUGUGAUCUCAAACCUUUCAUCCGAGCGCAACUUUCUCUUCGAGCCUCGUCUCUUUACCGCAGUUGUGCUCGAUCCGGAGGGCUAGAAAAAAGAAGAAAGACGAGUGUUAAUUAAUAUGUGUACAUACCAAAACAAUGAAUGCAUCAAUUAGCUAGUCAGCAAAGGCUUAACUAAUAUAUUUACCUGGCCGGACUCUGUUCGGUCACCGGAGCCGUCACCACGGGCUCCUUCUUGCACCAGCAUUGGGUCACCGGAGCCAUCAUAAUCAUGUCUUUCCUCCUCCACUCUUCGAUCACCGUAGCCUGCUUCUUCACCCUGUUCUUCCAGACCAUCAUUGUCGUUAAGAUACGACAAGAUAUCACCUCCGGCUAAGAUUAUGUCCCCCAACACCUCUUCUGCUUGCUCGUCUCGUCCGUGCUCCAUUGUUUCUGCAAAUAUUACAACAUGGCAAUUAUUACACAAGCAUGACAGCAGGUGGAUAUAUUAGUGCAAACGUAGACCUAGCUUAUUCCGGGUUUGGGGUGGCCUCGGCAACGCUUCAAGGGUAGGGGCGCGGCGGGAGGGGGUAGGAGACCGACAUCGUUUUUUUCUAGGGUUUGGGUGUCCUCGAGAGUUUUGGUCGAGCGAGAGGGCCGGGGGGUGCUCCCGUGGUAUAACUUAUCACGGUCGAGAGGGGGUAUAAAUAUCGACCGUCCAUCAUGUCGAAGUUAUCUGGGAGGGAGUUAUAUAUAUCGACAACGACGACAUACAUACAUGGGAAAAUAAUGUUAUCGAGGAGGGGAUAUAUCGACCCCCCCACGUGUUGAAGUUAUCGGGAGGGGGUUAUAUCGACAACGACGACAUACGUACAUGGGAAAAUAAUAUUAUCGGGGAGGGGGUAUAUCGACCCCCCUCGUGUUGAAGUUAUCGGGAGAGGGGCAUAUCGACGACGACAGACCCGAUAAAACAUAAGAAAACAAAGAGGAAAUAAAAAAAGGAGAAGAAGAAAAGGAAUAGAGGAGAAGAUCGAAGAAAAAAAAGAAGAAAAAAAGAGGAGAAGAAGAAAGGAAUAGAGGAGAGAAGAAGAAAAAUAGAAUUUUUUCUAUUUUUUCUUCUUCUCUUCUAUUCCUUUCUUCUUCUCCUCUUCUUUUUCUACUUUUUCCUCUUCUUAUUUAUUUCUCCUCUUCUUCCUCUCCUCUUCUUCUCCUUUCUUCCUAUUUCAUCAUUGUUCAUAUUUCAUUGUUCAUAUUUCAUCAUGUUCAUAUUUCGAAAAAAGUAAAGGUUUUGCCUAAUUCAUUGUUCAUAUUUCAUCAUGUUCUAUGAACAAAAAAACAUCAUAUUUCAUCCACAUCCAUGCAUACAUCAUAUAUGUGAUCAUCUAUAAAAAAACAUCAUAUUCUAUAAAAAAUCAUUACAUAUAUAUAUGUGAACAAAAACAACUAUGAUAACAAGCAUAUAUAUAUCAUCAUAUAUAUAGAAAAACAAGCAUAUAUAUAUAUGAAAAAAAACAAGAAAAAAUGCUAGGGAGGGCGCCGGCCGGACCAAGGUGAGGAGGACCGCGGGGUCGGCGGCGAGGAUGGCGACGGGGCAGUGGGCGCGCGCUCAGGGUAGGGGGCGACGGCGUCGAAGGGCGGGGCAGGGCGACGACGNNNNNNNNNNNNNNNNNNNNNNNNNNNNNNNNNNNNNNNNNNNNNNNNNNNNNNNNNNNNNNNNNNNNNNNNNNNNNNNNNNNNNNNNNNNNNNNNNNNNNNNNNNNNNNNNNNNNNNNNNNNNNNNNNNNNNNNNNNNNNNNNNNNNNNNNNNNNNNNNNNNNNNNNNNNNNNNNNNNNNNNNNNNNNNNNNNNNNNNNNNNNNNNNNNNNNNNNNNNNNNNNNNNNNNNNNNNNNNNNNNNNNNNNNNNNNNNNNNNNNNNNNNNNNNNNNNNNNNNNNNNNNNNNNNNNNNNNNNNNNNNNNNNNNNNNNNNNNNNNNNNNNNNNNNNNNNNNNNNNNNNNNNNNNNNNNNNNNNNNNNNNNNNNNNNNNNNNNNNNNNNNNNNNNNNNNNNNNNNNNNNNNNNNNNNNNNNNNNNNNNNNNNNNNNNNNNNNNNNNNNNNNNNNNNNNNNNNNNNNNNNNNNNNNNNNNNNNNNNNNNNNNNNNNNNNNNNNNNNNNNNNNNNNNNNNNNNNNNNNNNNNNNNNNNNNNNNNNNNNNNNNNGCCUUUAGUCCCGGUUCGUGGCACCAAAUGGGACUAAAGGUAGGCAUUAGUCCCGGUUGGUGCCACCAACCGGGACCAAAGCCCUCUUUUCAGCAGCCCAAAAGGGCGGGAAGCGGCGACCUUUGGUCCCGGUUGGUGGCACCAACCGGGACCAAAGGCCUCUUGCUGCCCGCGUCGCGGCCAAAAGUUUAGUCCCACCUCGCUAAUUGAGAGGGGCUCGAAGUGGUUUAUAAGCCCCGCUGUGGCUGCCCUCUCGAGCUCCUCUCAAAUGCAGGCUUACGGGCCUAAUCUCACACUAUGCUGUCUGUGGGCCUAUUGGGCCUUCUGCGGGCCUGAAUCCUGGCCCAGUUUGGGUUUCUAGUCGUAUUCAGGCCGUGGUGGCCCAAUAGGUGGCAGUUUUUUUCCAGUUUUUUUGUUUUGUUUUUUGUUUUAUUUAUUUUCUUUUGUUUUUUGCUUUAUUUUUUAAUUCUUUUUGCUUUUAGGUCACAAAAAUUAUAAACUUUCUGUUAGUGCCAUUAGUUUUCAAAUUUGAAUAGUUUAAAUUUGAAUUCUUUGAAAUUUGUGUGAAUCACUAGUUUGUGAUUAACUUUACAAUAAAAAUAGAUUUUGGAGUGAUUCUUUUUCCUGCUAUUUAAUAUUACUGUGUUUUAUGAUUCUAUUCAAAAACAUAUUUUUUAUUUUAGUUUCUAAAAAAAAAUCUUUAUGAUAAUGCUUUUUGCUAUUAAAGUUUCUAACAAAAACAUUAUUUAUGAAAAUUCCUUUUGCUAUUGGAGUUUUAUAAAAGCUUUUUAGUUGAUUCUUUUGGCUAUUGAAUAAUAUUAUAGUUUUGUUUUAGUUGAUCAUAACAGCAUAUUUUAAUUGAUUAUUUCUAGUUCAUUCUUUUUGCUAUUAGUUCAUGAGCUAUAAAUGACCCUUAAAUUGAAAAGCACUACAGAUGAACUCUGAAUAGGUUGAAAGUUGGCAUGGUUUCAUCAUUUCACCCACAUAUCAUGUGCUAAAAAGUUGAGAGGGUUACGGCAAAAACUGGAUGCACUUCGUGUACAAAAUGGACAAUCUCUUCCGAAGUAUCAGGGUUUCGAACGAAAACUCAUCAGUUACAAAGGGUUUCAUUUUUUUGAAUAUUUGAACUCCAGACUUUUUGUGUGUUCAAAAUGCACCAUUCAAAGCCACAUCAUCAAUUUUCAACCCUUUCUAACUUCAUUUGUUAUUUUUCGUGCAUUUACUAAUUAUUUUGAGCUAUAAGACCCUAAAAUUCAAAAGCAUUCCAAAUGAACUCUGAAAAGCUUGAAAGUUGGCAUGGUAUCAUCAUUUCAUCCACAUAGCAUGUGCAAGAAAGUUGAGAGGGUUACGGCAAAAACUGGAUGCACUUCGUGUACAAAACGGACAAUCUCUUUCGAAGUAUCAGGAUUUCAUACGGAAACUCAUCUGUUACAAAGGGAUUUCAUUUUUUAAAACUUAUUUGAACUCCUGACUUUUUAUGUGUUCAAAAUGCACCAUUCAAAGCCACAUCAUCAAUUUUCAACCCUUUCUGACUUCAUUUGUUAUUUUUCAUGCAUUUACUAAUUAUUUUGAGCUACAAGACCCUAAAAUUGAAAAGCAUUUCAAAUGAACUCUGAAAAGGUUGAAAAUUGGCAUGGUAUCAUCAUUUCAUCCACAUAGCAUGUGCAAGAAAGCCGAGACGGUUACGGCAAAAACUGGAUGAACUUCGUGUACAAAACGGACAAUGGUAUCAUACUCGUCUGUUACAAAGUUGGCAUGGUAUCAUCAUAAUAGUUGCGGGAGAAAGUCUUCACUUUUCUUCGCUUGUGUCAUUUGCUUAUUGCGCCGUAACCAUGGAUAAUCUUCAUCGUUUAUCAGGAUGCUUGGGUCAGCCUUGACUUUGAAGGGAGGAAUUUCAUGAAACUUUUCAUAAUCUUCAGGCAUGUCUGUCUUGCCCUCCACUCCCACAAUGUCCCUUUUUCCUGAAAGAACUAUGUGGCGCUUUGGCUCAUCGUAUGAUGUAUUCGCUUCCUUAUCUUUUCUUUUCCUCGGUCUGGUAGACAUGUCCUUCACAUAGAUAACCUGUGCCACAUCAUUGGCUAGGACGAACGGUUCGUCAGUGUACCCAAGAUUGUUCAGAUCCACUGUUGUCAUUCCGUACUGUGGGUCUACCUGUACCCCGCCUCCUGACAGAUUGACCCAUUUGCACUUAAACAAAGGGACCUUAAAAUCAUGUCCGUAGUCAAGUUCCCAUAUGUCCAUUAUGUAACCAUAAUAUGUGUCCUUUCCCCUCUCGGUUGCUGCAUCAAAGCGGACACCGCUGUUUUGGUUGGUGCUCUUUUGAUCUUGGGCGAUCGUGUAAAAUGUAUUCCCAUUUAUCUCGUAUCCUUUGUAAGUCAAUACAGUCGAAGAUGGUCCCCUAGACAAUGAGUACAACUCAUCACAAAUAGUGGUGUCACCUCUGAGACGUGUUUCCAACCAACUGCUGAAAGUCCUGAUGUGUUCACAUGUAAUCCAGUCGUCACACUGCUCCGGGUGUUUGGAGCGCAGACUGUUCUUGUGUUCAUCGACAUACGGGGUCACCAAGGUAGAGUUCUGUAGAACUGUGUAGUGUGCUUGAGACCAAGAAUAUCCGUCCCUGCAUAUUAUUGAGUCCCCUCCAAGCGUGCCUUUUCCAGUCAGUCUCCCCUCAUACCGCGAUUUAGGGAGACCUAUCUUCUUAAGGCCUGGAAUGAAGUCAACACAAGACCCAAUGACAUCCUCUGUUUGAUGGCACAUGGAGAUGCUUCCUUUUGGCCUAGCGCGGUUACGGACAUAUUUCUUUAGGACUCCCAUGAACCUCUCAAAGGGGAACAUAUUGUGUAGAAAUACGGGCCCCAGAAUGACAAUCUCGUUGACUAGAUGAACUAGGACGUGCUUCAUGAUAUUGAAGAAGGAUGGUGGGAACACCAGCUCGAAACUGACAAGACAUUGCGCCACAUCACUCCUUAGCCUUGGUAUGAUUUCUGGAUCGAUCACCUUCAGAGAGAUUGCAUUGAGGAAUGCACAUAGCUUCACAAUGGCUAAUCGGACGUUUUCCGGUAGAGGCCCCCUCAAUGCAACCGGAAGCAGUUGCGUCAUAAUCACGUGGCAGUCAUGAGACUUUAGGUUCUGGAACUUUUUCUCUGGCAUAUUUAUUAUUCCCUUUAUAUUCGACGAGAAGCCAGUCGGGACCUUCAUACUGAGCAGGCAUUCAAAGAAGAUUUCUUUCUCUUCUUUCGUAAGAGCGUAGCUGGCAGGACCUUCAUACUGCUUCGGAGGCAUGCCGUCUUUGUCGUGCAAACGUUGCAGGUCCUCCCGUGCCUCAGGUGUAUCUUUUGUCUUCCCAUACACGCCCAAGAAGCCUAGCAGGUUCACGCAAAGGUUCUUCGUCACGUGCAUCACGUCGAUUGAAGAGCGGACCUCUAGCUCUUUCCAGUAGGGUAGGUCCCAAAAUAUAGAUUUCUUCUUCCACAUGGGUGUGUGUCCCUCAGCAUCAUUCGGAACAGCUAGUCCACCGGGACCCUUUCCAAAGAUUACGUGUAAAUCAUUGACCAUAGCAAGUACGUGAUCACCGGUACGCAUGGCGGGCUUCUUCCGGUGAUCUGCCUCGCCUUUGAAAUGCUUGCCUUUCUUUCGACAUUGAUGGUUGGUCGGAAGAAAUCGACGAUGGCCCAGGUACACAUUCUUCCUGCAUUUGUCCAGGUAUAUACUUUCAGUGUCAUAUAAACAGUGUGUGCAUGUGUGGUAUCCCUUGUUUGUCUGUCCUGAAAGGUUACUGAGAGUGGGCCAAUCGUUGAUGGUUACAAACAGCAACACGUGCAGGUUAAAUUCCUCCUGUUUGUGCUCAUCCCACGUACGUACACCGUUUCCAUUCCACAGCUGUAAAAGUUCUUCAACUAAUGGCCUUAGGUACACAUCAAUGUCGUUGCCGGGUUGCUUAGGGCCUUGGAUGAGAACUGGCAUCAUAAUGAACUUCCGCUUCAUGCACAUCCAAGGAGGAAGGUUAUACAUACAUAGAGUCAUGGGCUAGGUGCUGUGAUUGCUGCUCUGCUCACCGAAAGGAUUAAUGCCAUCCGCGCUUAAACCAAACCAUACGUUCCAUGGGUCAGCUGCAAACUCAGCCCAGUACUUUCUGUCGAUUUUUCUCCACUGCGACCCGUCAGCGGGUGCUCUCAACUUCCCGUCUUUCUUACGGUCCUCACCGUGCCAUUGCAUCAACUUGGCAUGCUCUUCGUUUCUGAACAGACGUUUCAACCGUGGUAUUAUAGGAGCAUACCACAUCACCUUCGCAGGAACCCUCUUCCUGGGGGGCUGGCCGUCAACAUCACCAGGGUCAUCUCGUCUGAUCUUAUACCGCAAUGCACCGCAUACCGGGAAUGCGUUCAGAUCCUUGUACGCACCGCGGUAGAGGAUGCAGUCAUUAGGGCAUGCAUGUAUCUUCUGCACCUCCAAUCCUAGAGGGCAUACGACCUUCUUUGCUGCGUAUGUACUGUCGGGCAAUUCGUUAUCCUUUGGAAGCUUCUUCUUCAAUAUUUUCAAUAGCUUCUCAAAUCCUUUGUCAGGCACAGCAUUCUCUGCCUUCCACUGCAGCAAUUCCAGUACGGUACCGAGCUUUGUGUUGCCAUCUUCGCAAUUGGGGUACAACCCUUUUUUGUGAUCCUCUAACAUGCAAUCGAACUUCAGCUUCUCCUUUUGACUUUCGCAUUGCUUCCUUGCAUCGACAAUGACCCGGCGGAGAUCGCGCUGGUUCCUCUUGAUCUCCAGUAGCUUCCCCCCUUGCAGCAUCAUUGGGCACAUCGUCUGGUUCCUCUUGAUCUUCAGCAGCUUCCCCCGUUGCAGCAUCACCGUAUUCAGGGGGCACAUAGUUGUCAUCGUCCUCUUCUUCUUCGCCGUCUUCCAUCAUAACCCCUAUUUCUCCGUGCCUCGUCCAAACAUUAUAGUGUGGCAUGAAACCCUUCUAAAGCAGGUGGGUGUGAAGGAUUUUCCGGUCAGAGUAAGACUUCGUAUUCCCACAUAUAGGGCAUGGACAACACAUAAAACCAUUCUGCUUGUUUGCCUCAGCCACUUCGAGAAAAUCAUGCACGCCCUUAAUGUACUCGGAGGUGUGUCUGUCACCGUACAUCCAUUGCCGGUUCAUCUGCGUGCAUUAUAUAUAAUUAAGUGUGUCAAAAACCAUUACAGAACAUCAUGAAUAGAUAAUUAAGUGACCAAAUUAAUAGAAGUUCAUCAUCACAUUAAAACCAAAGUACAUACAUAGUUCUCAUCUAACAACAUAUAUAUAGCUCUCCAGAGCAUCUAAUUAAUUAAACCAUACAUUGACACUAUGUAAAACAUUUCAAUGCGAAAACAAAUGCGAUCAUAAUCGCAACCAAGGUAACAAUUGAUCCAACGGCAUAAUGAUACCAAGCCUCGGUAUGAAUGGCAUAUUUUCUAAUCUUUCUAAUCUUCAAGCGCAUUGCAUCCAUCUUGAUCUUGUGAUCAUCAACGACAUCCGCAACAUGCAACUCCAAUAUCAUCUUCUCCUCCUCAAUUUUUUUAGUUUUUCCUUCAAGUAAUUGUUUUCUUCUUCAACUAAAUUUAACCUCUCGACAAUAGGGUCGGUUAGAAUUUCCGGUUCAACCACCUCCUAGAUAAAUAAAAUCUAUGUGACAUUGGUCGGUGUAUUUGUCAUAAACAAUAAAUGAACCAAAUAGUUAUAAAAAGAUAAUAUAUACCACAUCCGAAUCAUAGACAGGACGAGGGCCGACGGGGGCGGAUACCAAAACCAUCGCACUAUGUAAUAAGAAGGAAUAAUAAAAGUAACAAAAUUAGACAAGUAUCUAUCUAAAGUAAGAAUUUUUUCCUUUCAGAAAGAGGAUAAGAACAAGAGGCUCACCACGGUCGUGUUGGCGACGAGAUCGGCGCGGGCGAUCGACGGCGGUGAAGACGGGGACGGGACGUGACGGACCGCUAAACCUAGACAAAUCUCGGGGAAAAUGGAGCUCGGAGGUCGAGUUUCGAGAGGAGAAAGAUUAACUAGUGUGGCUCAGACAUUUCAUCGAACACCUCAUGUGCAUAGGAGGUGAGCUAGAGCACCCAAAUGCCCUCCCCUCGCCGGCCAGAGAAAACAGAGCACUGUGGAGUGCUCUGCUGUGGCGAUGGGGUAUAUAUAGGGAACUCAUUGGUCCCGGUUCGGUGGCACCAACCGGGACCAAAGGCCUUGUGCUGCCCCGCGUCAAAAGUUUAGUCCCACCUCCCUAGUUGAGAGGGCUCAAGAGUGGUUUAUAAGCGCUGCUGCGCCCACCCUCUCGAGCUCCUCUCAACUGCAGGCUUUCGGGCCUAACCGUUCUCUUUGCCUGUGGGGCCUACUGGGCCUUCUGCGGGCUAGAAUCCUGGCCCAUGGAUGGGUUUCAAGUCGUAUUUAGGCCGUGGUGGCCAAGUAGGUGGCAUAAUUUCUUUUCUCUGUUUUUUGUUUUCUCUUUUGCUUUAUUUGUUUUGUUUUGUUUCUAUUUACAACAAAAAAAUUAUUUAUUUUAUUUCUAAUUACUUAUGUAUUUCACUUUAAUUAUUUUAUUUUUAUUUAUUUUACUGCUGCUAUUUUUAUACUGCUGCUAUUUUUAUUUAUUUUACUGCUGCUAUUUUUAUUUAAUUUAUUAAGGUUUAUUUAUUUUAGUUACUAUAGUUUAUUUUAUUUUAUAUUAUUAAGGUUUAUUUAUUUUUAUUUAUUUUGUUAAGGUUUAUUUAUUUUAUUUACUAUAAAAAAAUGAACAUAGAUGCGCCUAUAGAGAAAAUUCAACCUAAAUUCAUAAUAAAUUUCUAUGAAAUUCAAAGAAAUUUACUAUGAAUUUAGGUCAAAUUCCCUGUAUAAGGGCAUCUAUUUUCACUUUGAGAGGAGCUCAACAAGGCAGAGAGGGACGAGCUUAUAAACUGGUCUGAGCGCCCUUCGGUUGGCGAGGUGGGACUAAACACUGGCCGCAACAAGGACUAGCCCUUUAGUCCGGGUUUGUGGUAUGAACCGGGACUAAAGGGUGGUGGGCCAGGAGCGUGGCCCAUUGGUCCCGGUUUGUCCCACCAACCGGGACCAAAGGGGCCGGACGAACCGGGACCAAUGCCCCCCACGAGGCCCGGCAGGCCCCAGGCCGCACGAACCGGGACCAAUGCUCACAUUAGUCCCGGUUCGUGACUGAACUGGGACUAAUGUGAAUAUUGCCCUGUGACCAAAGCCCAGUUUUCUACUAGUG
This 39827-nucleotide long non-coding RNA is filed under the name Triticum aestivum (bread wheat). Its description in RNAcentral is "long non-coding RNA (TAES_LNC017617)". Lineage: Eukaryota; Viridiplantae; Streptophyta; Magnoliopsida; Poales; Poaceae. The record is from RNAcentral.